GCAGUAGCCGCGGUAAUACGGAGGGUGCAAGCGUUAAUCGGAAUUACUGGGCGUAAAGCGCACGCAGGCGGUUUAUUAAGUCAGAUGUGAAAUCUCCGAGCUUAACUUGGGAACUCCAUUUGAAACUGGCAAGCUAGAGUCUUGUAGAGGGGGGUAGAAUUCCAGGUGUAGCGGUGAAAUGCGUAGAGAUCUGGAGGAAUACCGGUGGCGAAGGCGGCCCCCUGGACAAAGACUGACGCUCAGGUGCGAAAGCGUGGGGAGCAAACAGGAUUAGAUACCCGUGUAGUCCCUGUCUCUUAUAC
Molecule: ribosomal RNA, 302 nt
Filed under: uncultured bacterium
Lineage: Bacteria
Description: partial 16S ribosomal RNA
Rfam family: Bacterial small subunit ribosomal RNA
Source: RNAcentral